Gadus morhua (Atlantic cod) is the source of this 1066-nucleotide long non-coding RNA. RefSeq lists it as uncharacterized. NCBI's taxonomy places the organism in Eukaryota, Metazoa, Chordata, Actinopteri, Gadiformes, Gadidae. The transcript is spliced from 3 exons. The record is from RefSeq and is a predicted model, not a curated record.
CCGAGGAGUGGAGAGAGACGUGCUGAGAGUGGAGUAGAGUAGAGUAGAGUAGAGUAGGACUUUAUUUUCGAAGCAUGCGAUCUCGAACGACCACCGUUGCGUUCCUUUCCGUCCUCACUGAGACCUGGACUAUAAAACACAACGUGGCCACCAACGACCAGGACUACAGCCUCUCAAAGACUGCAGUCGGGCUCAGAGGGGCAGUGUGGAGACCCCUAGUGGUCUGAGACCAGGAGCUCUGAACGCUCUGGAGUCCACGCUGGAGACUUGGUGGGAACGUCACUCCUCGUCCUCCAACCUGUUUAUGAUGUGGUCCCCUGUCAGGCUGGGGGUUAGAUGUUCCCCUGGGUCUAAUGAUGAACCAUCUUCACAUUCAAGUGAGGAGACCAACAUUUGAUUGAGGCAUCCUAGAGAUGGGAGGGUCAUCACGACUACCUCUUGGCUGUUGGAGGCGGUCGUCUUGACGACCUGGUUCAGCAGAUUCUAGACCUAGAGGAGCAUCAACGCGUUUCGAGGGACCCCAACUUCAGAGUGAGAGGCAAGGACCUGGUAGAUCUACCUGAAGACCCCCACCUCUCCGUCAGGUGGGCAGCGGCCCACGGCUCCACCCCACCAAGUUGACUCAACCUACCAACGUCUUCCAGUCUGGAGCAGACACCCUGACCCAACCUGCGCCACCCAGAAUGAAAGCCCCAGAAGUCCCCAGGGAUGAGGAGAUGCUGAGUUACUGGGAGGAGGGUCUCCACUGGGCGGUCCUUAUCAUGGUUUCCUCCCCUUUCCUCGGCUGGAGUUAGUGUUGUCCUUAUAAGGGCUCGGUGGGUGAUGUCUCUUUUCUGAAGGCGGGACAUCUGAAGGGAUGUCUUGCCAAUUAAAUAGCUUUAUCUGAAUAGAAGAUGGAAAACCAUCUCUUGUAAGUCUAUUUACUUUUUUGGUUACUUUUCAAUGUUCUCAGCACCUCUGCUGAAUGUAACUUUGUAGCAGAUAGACGAUUAUCGUUUUUUUCAGUCAGCAAAUGUUACUGUAAGUUGUGUUUUUCCAUGUGUGAAUAAAAUGCUUGACUUAAAAA